CCGGGCAACGGCGGGGUCGGGGCUGCUGGCGGUGCACUGCCGGUGCGCGGCAUCGGCUUCGGGUUCUGUUCCUGCGGCCCGGA
This 83-nucleotide transfer RNA is filed under the name Kitasatospora phosalacinea. RNAcentral describes it as "tRNA-Gly". The record is from RNAcentral. Lineage: Bacteria; Bacillati; Actinomycetota; Actinomycetes; Kitasatosporales; Streptomycetaceae.